This 292-nucleotide ribosomal RNA is filed under the name uncultured bacterium. Its description in RNAcentral is "partial 16S ribosomal RNA". It matches the Rfam family "Bacterial small subunit ribosomal RNA", at positions 505 to 796 of the family's 1533-position model. The record is from RNAcentral.
GUGCCAGCAGCCGCGGUAAUACAGAGGGUGCAAGCGUUGUCCGGAAUCACUGGGCGUAAAGGGCGCGUAGGCGGCCUGAUAAGUCGGGGGUGAAAUUCUGCGGCUUAACCGCAGGACGGCCUUCGAGACUGUCGGGCUUGAGCACGGUAGAGGCUGGUGGAAUUCCCGGUGUAGCGGUGGAAUGCGUAGAGAUCGGGAAGAACAUCGGUGGCGAAGGCGGCCAGCUGGGCCGUUGCUGACGCUGAGGCGCGACAGCGUGGGGAGCAAACAGGAUUAGAUACCCUGGUAGUCC